CACUUGAACCCUGGUGUUUGUCACCGCUGUAUCCAGCCAAGUGCGCUUUUUAGUGGCUUAAAACUCUGGAGCCGAGCAAAGCAGGGGCUACGAGAGGCGAAAGCCAAUUCGUCGAACUGCAACCUCCACCCGCCCCCGCCAAAAGUUCCGUGACUUGCCCGAGGCCACUCAGUACUGAUGGGCAACAGUGAAUGCUCAAGGAGAUACCUGUUUGAAGUGGGCAGAGGUACAGUCCCGUUUUACACAACAGGACGGGUCACGGGCCGAAGUUAAAACAGCUAGUAAACGGUGGAGCCGGGAUUCAACCCAGAGCCGAUAACCUUUUGAUUCCCGGAAGACGAUUCAAGUCUUCUUAACCCAUUGUCUCCGUGUUCAGCUUCUCGACCCUGUAAGACAGUCUCCGGAAAUGAUCCGGGGUUUGAGUGUUGGAAGCACUGGCUAGGGAAAGGCAAGGCACCCUGUGUGGAAGCACCCUGUUUGGCCAAUGGGUAAACGCGUAUCAGAGAGAGCGAAUGACAUGCAGAAAAGGAGCUACCCGUAGGCCUUCUCUAAACUGCCCCAGGUUGGCAAGACCUAUAUCCCCCUAAAAGCAUAGCAUGUGCUCUCCAGACAGAAGCUGGGUUCCAAAGCCUUGCAUGCACAGCGGUUGCCAACGGCAACGAAUAUUUCUCUCUCCAUCACUACCUCCCGCUUGAAAAACUAAGAACGGGUAGAGGCCAGUUCCCAAAAUUUUUCACAGGUAACAACACAAAUAGGUCCCAGAACCCAAAUUAUAAUUUUUUUUUUCGAUAGGGGCAUCCAAACCCCUUUGUUUUAUUUCUAGAAUCCUCUGGAUAUGUUACAGAGUAUAAAUAUAAACUCCUUUGUGGAUUACAAUUAUUAUUAAGUUUGAGUGAACAGAGACAUAGAUGAAAGAGAAAAACAAAGAGGCACUGGUGUGCACAGGGUGAGAAUACAUGGCACCAAAGGACAAUCCGUGGUAGCUGUUCUUGUUCGCCCCCAAGACACUGCUCAGUCCUUCUGACCAUUUUCCCAGAGUGAACGGUGGAAUAAAAAGAAUGGGGAGGGGGUUAGUUAUAUAACUCAGUGGUAAAGCAUUUGCUUAGUAUGCACAAGGUCCUGGACAAAGAUUUAAAAAAAAAAAAUCUACUGGCCCUUUUAU
Long non-coding RNA from Peromyscus californicus insignis, 1162 nucleotides. RefSeq lists it as uncharacterized. The record is from RefSeq and is a predicted model, not a curated record. NCBI's taxonomy places the organism in Eukaryota, Metazoa, Chordata, Mammalia, Rodentia, Cricetidae. The transcript is spliced from 2 exons.